RNAcentral lists this ribosomal RNA (161 nucleotides) under Minaria lourteigiae. RNAcentral describes it as "5.8S ribosomal RNA". The stretch from base 1 to 89 matches the Rfam family "5.8S ribosomal RNA", at positions 68 to 154 of the family's 154-position model. Rfam says of the family: 5.8S ribosomal RNA (5.8S rRNA) is a component of the large subunit of the eukaryotic ribosome. It is transcribed by RNA polymerase I as part of the 45S precursor that also contains 18S and 28S rRNA. Lineage: Eukaryota; Viridiplantae; Streptophyta; Magnoliopsida; Gentianales; Apocynaceae. The record is from RNAcentral.
UGAAUUGCAGAAUCCCGUGAACCAUGGAGUCUUUGAACGCAAGUUGCGCCCGAAGCCGUCAGGCCGAGGGCACGCCUGCCUGGGCGUCACGCGCUGCGUCGUCCCCCCCGCCCCCGCACGCCGCGGGCGCGCGCGGGGGGGAGCGGAAGUUGGCUUCCCGU